CGGAGGCAGCAGUGAGGAAUAUUGGUCAAUGGAGGCAACUCUGAACCAGCCAUGCCGCGUGCAGGAAGACAGCCCUCUGGGUCGUAAACUGCUUUUAUUCGGGAAUAAACCUAGAUACGUGUAUUUAGCUGAAUGUACCGAAGGAAUAAGGAUCGGCUAACUCCGUGCCAGCAGCCGCGGUAAUACGGAGGAUCCAAGCGUUAUCCGGAUUUAUUGGGUUUAAAGGGUGCGUAGGCGGCUUAUUAAGUCAGGGGUGAAAGACGGUGGCUCAACCAUCGCAGUGCCCUUGAUACUGAUGAGCUUGAAUGAACUAGAGGUAGGCGGAAUGUGACAAGUAGCGGUGAAAUGCAUAGAUAUGUCACAGAACACCGAUUGCGAAGGCAGCUUACUAUGGUUUUAUUGACGCUGAGGCACGAAAGCGUGGGGAUCAAACAGGAUUAGAUACCCGAGUAU
Molecule: ribosomal RNA, 453 nt
Filed under: uncultured bacterium
Lineage: Bacteria
Description: bacterial SSU rRNA
Rfam family: Bacterial small subunit ribosomal RNA
Source: RNAcentral